Molecule: ribosomal RNA, 253 nt
Filed under: uncultured bacterium
Lineage: Bacteria
Description: partial 16S ribosomal RNA
Rfam family: Bacterial small subunit ribosomal RNA
Source: RNAcentral
UACAGGGGGGGCAAGCGUUGUUCGGAAUUACUGGGCGUAAAGGGCUCGUAGGCGGCCAACUAAGUCGGACGUGAAAUCCCCAGGCUCAACCUGGGAACUGCGUCCGAUACUGGAUGGCUUGAAUUCGGGAGAGGGAUGCAGAAUUCCAGGUGUAGCGGUGAAAUGCGUAGAUAUCUGGAGGAAUACCGGUGGCGAAGGCGGCAUCCUGGACCGACAUUGACGCUGAUGAGCGAAAGCCAGGGGAGCAAACGGG